Molecule: unclassified non-coding RNA, 292 nt
Filed under: plant metagenome
Description: partial contains small subunit ribosomal RNA and internal transcribed spacer 1
Rfam family: Eukaryotic small subunit ribosomal RNA (bases 1-46)
Source: RNAcentral
AAGUCGUAACAAGGUUUCCGUAGGUGAACCUGCGGAAGGAUCAUUAUUUGAAUGAACUUGGCGUGUUGUUGCUGGUCCUCUUUGGGGGGCAUGUGCACACCCGUCAUCUUUUUCUUUCCCACCUGUGCACAUUUUGUAGGUCUAAAAAUUUUUUCCGAGGCAACUCGUUUAGAGGGUUUUGCUGUGCAUCAUGUCGGCUUCCCCUUGGAUUUUCAGGCCUAUGUUUUCACAUACACCAUAAAAAUGUAAUAGAAUGUCAUAUUGGGCUUUGUUGCCUAUAAACUAUAUACAA